Molecule: ribosomal RNA, 466 nt
Filed under: uncultured Anaerolineaceae bacterium
Lineage: Bacteria; Bacillati; Chloroflexota; Anaerolineae; Anaerolineales; Anaerolineaceae
Description: bacterial SSU rRNA
Rfam family: Bacterial small subunit ribosomal RNA
Source: RNAcentral
CAAAGGAAUUGACGGGACCCGCACAAGCAGCGGAGCGUGUGGUUUAAUUCGAUGCUACACGAAGAACCUUACCAGGGUUUGACAUGCAAGUGGUAGGAAUCUGAAAAGGGACCGACCCUUCGGGGAGCUUGCACAGGUGCUGCAUGGCUGUCGUCAGCUCGUGUCGUGAGAUGUUCGGUUAAGUCCGCUAACGAGCGCAACCCUCACUGCGUGUUAUAUGUGUCACACGGGACUGCCGGUUUUAAGCCGGAGGAAGGUGGGGAUGACGUCAAGUCAGCAUGGCCUUUAUAUCCUGGGCUACACACACGCUACAAUGGUCGGUACAAUAGGUUGCCAAGCCGCGAGGCGGAGCCAAUCCACAAAGCCGGCCUCAGUUCAGAUUGUAGGCUGCAACUCGCCUGCAUGAAGAUGGAGUUGCUAGUAACCGCAGGUCAGCAAUACUGCGGUGAAUACGCUCCCGGGUCUU